GGCGGUUUGAUAAGUNUGAAGUUAAAGGCUGUGGCUCAACCAUAGUUCGCUUUGGAAACUGUCAAACUUGAGUGCAGAAGGGGAGAGUGGAAUUCCAUGUGUAGCGGUGAAAUGCGUAGAUAUAUGGAGGAACACCGGUGGCGAAAGCGGCUCUCUGGUCUGUAACUGACGCUGAGGCUCGAAAGCGUGGGGAGCGAACAGGAUUAGAUACCCUGGUAGUCCACGCCGUAAACGAUGAGUGCUAGGUGUUGGGUCCUUUCCGGGAUUCAGUGCCGCAGCUAACGCAUUAAGCACUCCGCCUGGGGAGUACGACCGCAAGGUUGAAACUCAAAGGAAUUGACGGGGGCCCGCACAAGCGGUGGAGCAUGUGGUUUAUUCGAAGCAACGCGAAGAACCUUACCAGGUCUUGACAUCCCGAUGCUAUUUCUAGAGAUAGGAAGUUACUUCGGUACAUCGGUGACAGGUGGUGCAUGGUUGUCGUCAGCUCGUGUCGUGAGAUGUUGGGUUAAGUCCCGCAACGAGCGCAACCCCUAUUGUUAGUUGCCAUCAUUCAGUUGGGCACUCUAGCGAGACUGCCGGUAAUAAACCGGAGGAAGGUGGGGAUGACGUCAAAUCAUCAUGCCCCUUAUGACCUGGGCUACACACGUGCUACAAUGGUUGGUACAACGAGUUGCGAGUCGGUGACGGCGAGCUAAUCUCUUAAAGCCAAUCUCAGUUCGGAUUGUAGGCUGCAACUCGCCUACAUGAAGUCGGAAUCGCUAGUAAUCGCGGAUCAGCACGCCGCGGUGAAUACGUUCCCGGGCCUUGUACACACCGCCCGUCACACCACGAGAGUUUGUAACACCCGAAGUCGGUGAGGUAACCUU
This 866-nucleotide ribosomal RNA is filed under the name uncultured bacterium. Its description in RNAcentral is "bacterial SSU rRNA". It matches the Rfam family "Bacterial small subunit ribosomal RNA", at positions 574 to 1442 of the family's 1533-position model. The record is from RNAcentral.